AGAAAAUAUAAAACUACUGAUAUUUACUUUGACGGAGAAAUUAAAAAAUGUGAAAAAAUCCUAGCCACUUAUAAAGACUUGCAUUCCUUCUGACGACACAAGACCUGACUGGCCCCAUCUACACUACAGAAAUGGAUUUUAAACAUGGUGGGCCAAAUUUAGAGGUGCAUGUGGAAUAUGAUCUGUAAGCAG
Molecule: long non-coding RNA, 192 nt
Organism: Mauremys reevesii (Reeves's turtle)
Lineage: Eukaryota; Metazoa; Chordata; Testudines; Geoemydidae
Exons: 3
Source: RefSeq, a predicted model, not a curated record